This 403-nucleotide ribosomal RNA is filed under the name uncultured bacterium. RNAcentral describes it as "partial 16S ribosomal RNA". It matches the Rfam family "Bacterial small subunit ribosomal RNA", at positions 30 to 526 of the family's 1533-position model. The record is from RNAcentral.
AUUGAACGCUGGCGGCAGGCCUAACACAUGCAAGUCGAGCGAGCGGCGGACGGGUGAGUAAUGUAUGGGGACUGCCCGAUAGAGGGGGAUAACUACUGGAAACGGUGGCUAAUACCGCAUACUAUCGGAUAACCCAUAUGGGAUUAGCUAGUAGGGUGGGUAAAGGCUCACCUAGGCGACGAACUCUAGCUGGUCUGAGAGGAUGAUCAGCAACACUGGUACGUGGACACGGCCCAAACUCCUCCGGGGGCAGCAGUGGGGAAUAAUGCACAAGGGGCGCAAGCCUGAUGCAGCCAUGCCGCGUGUAUGAAGAAUGCCUUAGGGUUGUAAAGUACUUUCAGCGGGGAGGCGUUACCCGCAGAAGAAGCACCGGCUAACUCCGUGCCAGCAGCCGCGGUAAUUC